Molecule: long non-coding RNA, 1973 nt
Filed under: Homo sapiens (human)
Lineage: Eukaryota; Metazoa; Chordata; Mammalia; Primates; Hominidae
Description: HSALNT0320390
Source: RNAcentral
CCUCUUUCACCCGAGAAGCCUUGCGUGCACUGUUAGCAAACUCACACAAGUGAAGAGGGACCUUUCUUUGCUACACAGCGUCCUCCGUGGCGAGCUGGAGGGAAGCGCUCUCAGCAGAGAGGGUCGCCCUCACCAAGAAGCCAAAGGGAAGAGGACAGAAUCUAUCUUGUAGGGACGCCCUUGGUCUUCAGAAGGAACACUUUUUCUGUUUCACAGAGAUCUGUGGAAUGUGUGGGUUCCCUGAAGAGGUGGACGGACCCCCGGGGUCGCGCGUUUUCUCAGCCCUGGGCCCGUAGCGGAGCUCGAUCCUUCCAGAGCUCAGGGCCAGAAAUGUUGCGAUUCCGAACACUUUGCCUUUCUUCUGAGAGGAGCCGCCCGGCAGACGCUCAUCAUUAAGAAGCAACGUAAUUAACAACGAAUGUUUCCCCUUGGCGCUAAUGCGAACACCCUGGGGAACUGCCAAGUCUGAUAUGUCCACCGCAUUACAAAUGGGAUUCUCUGGCAUCUGACCAACCCUCACAAUGGCUACUGGCCAUCUCAUGCCCAACAGGACAAUGCUUAUUUCCACCAGGAGAUGGCGCAUGCCUUUUUUUUUUUUUUUUUAAAUCCCCAGGAAGGUCUCAGUGCUGCAAAAGCUCCAUGACCAUUCUGCUUCUAAACUGACGGAGCAAACAUAUAUUUCCAGUGGUAAUGCUAGGAAAUACUUUGCUAAGGAUGUUACUUUGGUCCUUCAGCCAGUGGUCAGAGAACAGAAUGACCAUACUGCAACCACCCAUGGUGAACUGACUGGCACACCUACAAAAAUCUUAUCUUUGGGGUCCCCAUAGUACCCAGUGGAUUGCCUUGCACAUUGUAGGUGCUCAGUAUGUGUUUGCUAAAGACAUGACCCUGGAUAAAUCACUUCACCUCAAUUAGUCUGUUUCCCAAAUCUGAAAAUAAAAGCAGUGAAAUGGACAAGGUGACAGUUAAGGCCUUGAAUCAGAAGAGCCUCUGACAAUGUGACAAAUAGCUUUCUGGAAGCCACUAACUGCUGAGUCCCAGACUGUCAAUCCACAAAGAUUUCACUGAAAAUUUAAGAGAAAAUGAAAGCUACUCAGUCUUUCUCAUAGUAGUCUUUUAAGGAAAUAAAACAUGCAAGAAAAUACUGCAGUAACCCAGGAGAAAUGAAAAGCACAGACUGCACACUGGGACACGUGUUACAUGGCUGGCUCAAGGAGCUUCAGAAGCAGAGGCUCACGGACUGGGCCAAACCAGACAGUGCGCUCCUACUCAGACCUUUCCUGAUUUUCAGGAUUUGCGCCAACACCCACCUUAAUGCCUCAGAGGUAAGGGUCAGUGUAGUACACGAAUCUAUUUCUCUAGGCUCUCCUCCUUACAAAGCCCUUCCCCUCUCAGUCUUGGCAAGACGUUGGCCACGCUCACCACUUCCACUUGCUCCUUUCCCAGCACCGAGCUCUGAGGGCCUCUCUGCCAGAGCAGCUCUGAUACAGAACCGGCAAGUACACCUUUGCUGAGCUGGGGGCACUGUGUAAUUGCUGGAGACAGGCACAGUCAUGGGGCUGUGAUCAAAUCCAGGUGCCAUCACUCACAUGUUCAAUGACCUUGGUGAGCAUGGUCUUAAUUCCUCUGUACUUCAGUUUCCUCAUUUGUAAAUGGAGGUAAAAUUGGUAGCCACCUCAGAAAGUUCUUGUGAAAAUUAAAUAAUGUUGAUAUAAAUAAAUUAAUACAAUGUUUGACACACAACGUUAACAAUGGGUACUAAUGGCAAUUAUUAUAAUUAUUACUAUUACUUUCUUUGUUGUUGCAUAUCUGUCCCACAUCCUCACUGCCAGAGCCAUUCCUCCAAGACUGAGAUAAAAUGUCACUCUUGGUUCAGGAGCUGUGGCAGUAGGAGAACAUCAGGCAACUAGUCCUAGACUUAUCAUCAUCCCCAUGGAAGGAGUGUGAUUGUAAGUCUCUCUGAGGACAUCACC